This 178-nucleotide transfer RNA is filed under the name Marmota monax (woodchuck). Its description in RNAcentral is "tRNA.Val". Lineage: Eukaryota; Metazoa; Chordata; Mammalia; Rodentia; Sciuridae. The record is from RNAcentral.
UGGGAUGUAGCUUAGUGGUAGAGUGCUUACCAAACAUGUAUGAGGCUCUGAGUUUGAUCCGCAGCACCACUCAGGGUAGGGAGGGCUCAUAAUCAAAAAACAAAUAGGAUUUGAGCAUGUAGCUUAGAGAGCGACUUUACCGAGUGCAAGGCCCUGGGUUCAAUCCCCAGCACCCAAA